UACGUAGGGUGCGAGCGCUAAUCGGAAUUACUGGGCGUAAAGCGUGCGCAGGCGGUUUUGUAAGACAGAUGUGAAAUCCCCGGGCUUAACCUGGGAAUGGCAUUUGGGACUGCAAGGCUGGAGUGCGGCAGAGGAGACUGGAAUUCCUGGUGUAGCAGUGAAAUGCGUAGAUAUCAGGAGGAACACCGAUGGCGAAGGCAGGUCUCUGGGCUGACACUGACGCUCAUGCACGAAAGCGUGGGGAGCAAACAGG
RNAcentral lists this ribosomal RNA (253 nucleotides) under uncultured bacterium. RNAcentral's name for it is "partial 16S ribosomal RNA". It matches the Rfam family "Bacterial small subunit ribosomal RNA", at positions 524 to 776 of the family's 1533-position model. The record is from RNAcentral.